This 656-nucleotide ribosomal RNA is filed under the name uncultured bacterium. RNAcentral's name for it is "bacterial SSU rRNA". It matches the Rfam family "Bacterial small subunit ribosomal RNA", at positions 728 to 1384 of the family's 1533-position model. The record is from RNAcentral.
UNUGGCUUGUAACUGACGCUGAGGCUCGAGAGCGUGGGGAGCAAACAGGAUUAGAUACCNUGGUAGUCCACGCCGUAAACGAUGAGUGCUAGGUGUUAGACCCUUUCCGGGGUUUAGUGCCGCAGCUAACGCAUUAAGCACUCCGCCUGGGGAGUACGACCGCAAGGUUGAAACUCAAAGGAAUUGACGGGGGCCCGCACAAGCGGUGGAGCAUGUGGUUUAAUUCGAAGCAACGCGAAGAACCUUACCAGGUCUUGACAUCCCUCUGACCGCUCUAGAGAUAGAGUUUUCCUUCGGGACAGAGGUGACAGGUGGUGCAUGGUUGUCGUCAGCUCGUGUCGUGAGAUGUUGGGUUAAGUCNNNNNACGAGCGCAACCCCUAUUGUUAGUUGCCAUCAUUCAGUUGGGCACUCUAGCGAGACUGCCGGUAAUAAACCGGAGGAAGGUGGGGAUGACGUCAAAUCAUCAUGCCCCUUAUGACCUGGGCUACACACGUGCUACAAUGGCUGGUACAACGAGUCGCAAGCCGGUGACGGCAAGCUAAUCUCUUAAAGCCAGUCUCAGUUCGGAUUGUAGGCUGCAACUCGCCUACAUGAAGUCGGAAUCGCUAGUAAUCGCGGAUCAGCACGCCGCGGUGAAUACGUUCCCGGGCCUNGU